GAUGAACGCUGGCGGCGUGCCUAAUACAUGCAAGUCGAGCGAAUGGAUUAAGAGCUUGCUCUUAUGAAGUUAGCGGCGGACGGGUGAGUAACACGUGGGUAACCUGCCCAUAAGACUGGGAUAACUCCGGGAAACCGGGGCUAAUACCGGAUAAUAUUUUGAACUGCAUGGUUCAAAAUUGAAAGGCGGCUUCGGCUGUCACUUAUGGAUGGACCCGCGUCGCAUUAGCUAGUUGGUGAGGUAACGGCUCACCAAGGCAACGAUGCGUAGCCGACCUGAGAGGGUGAUCGGCCACACUGGGACGGAGAGACGGCCCAGACUCCGACGGGAGGCAGAAGUAGGGAAUCUUCCGCAAUGGACGAAAGUAUGACGGAGCAACGCCGCGUGAGUGAUGAAGGCUUUCGGGUCGUAAAACUCUGUUGUUAGGGAAGAACAAGUGCUAGUUGAAUAAGCUGGCACCUUGACGGUACCUAACCAGAAAGCCACGGCUAACUACGUGCCAGCCGCCGCAGUAA
RNAcentral lists this ribosomal RNA (515 nucleotides) under uncultured bacterium. Its description in RNAcentral is "partial 16S ribosomal RNA". It matches the Rfam family "Bacterial small subunit ribosomal RNA", at positions 28 to 523 of the family's 1533-position model. The record is from RNAcentral.